Long non-coding RNA from Portunus trituberculatus (swimming crab), 181 nucleotides. RefSeq lists it as uncharacterized. The transcript is spliced from 2 exons. The record is from RefSeq and is a predicted model, not a curated record. NCBI's taxonomy places the organism in Eukaryota, Metazoa, Arthropoda, Malacostraca, Decapoda, Portunidae.
ACACACACACACACACACACACACACACACACACACACACACACACACACACACACACACACACACACACACACACACACACACACACACACACACACACACACACAGAACCAUUUCCCGUUUUCUCUCUACCGCCUCACAGAAAACGAGGAGCCACUUCUACCCCAAACUUGCAUAAAAA